CGCCCCGCGCCCUCCGCCCCCCGGGCCGCCCGCCCGCCGCGGGGCAGCGCCGGGGUGCCAGCGCCGAGGGGCUGUUCUCUUAAAAAAACCCUCCUUUUCUCCGGGCUGAACCCAAAGCCUUCUUUUCUCCGGGCUGAACAAUCCCACGUCUCAGCCUUUCCGCGUACGAGAGGUGCUCCAGCCCUCUAAUCAUCUUCGUUGCCCUUAGUUCUUGUUUGUAAGAAGUAUCAUUGUUUCUGUAUCCUUACACCCUUCAGAUGUUUAGUGGUGUGAGCUUUUCAGCAUUCCUGGUGAAUUACACAUUCUGGGAAUUAAUCAAAGCUAUUUAGUGAAUGAAGUUAUUACGUGGAGGAUCUUCCUGUCCUUACCUGUGACAGAGGGAUGGUACUUAUAUACAGGAGGAGAAUGGAUUUCAGGAAGGGCAUGAGCAUCUCGGAGUAAAAAUAAUUAAAUCCUGCCAAGAUCAGCUGCUGUCCAGGGACACCACCCAGGUCUAAUUCAGAGAAAAAAUAGUCAGACUGAAGCACAGCAAAAGGUGAAGAAGUUGCGAUGAGGAACUUGGUGGUACAUGAACUCUGCAAACCAGCUGGACACGACAAACAGCCUUGGUCUGAGGGCACGUGUGGAGUACAGGAGAAUCAGGGGUGUGUGUGUGGGGUACAGGAGAAG
This is a long non-coding RNA of Pseudopipra pipra, 669 nucleotides long. RefSeq lists it as uncharacterized. The record is from RefSeq and is a predicted model, not a curated record. The transcript has 3 exons. Lineage: Eukaryota; Metazoa; Chordata; Aves; Passeriformes; Pipridae.